ACUCAGACAUGGGCCGACCCACUUCCAAUGGGUCUUUUGAAGCGCCGCUAGUUUGGCCCUCCUCAGAACAGUUGGCCUCCUCUCCACAUCCAACUCCAUUACCCGGCCCAAAAAACUACUACCUUGGGCUAAAGGCCCUUCAACUGAGACCUCCUCCCAAUUAGAAGACACCCUUCCUUUAACCCUUUCGUCCUCUGCCCCUCUUGCCGACACAAAGUCAAAGGUAACAACCUCCCUGUCCUUUUUGCAACAAGCUUCUCCAACUUCGCACGUCACAACAACCUUUGCAGACUACCAUUGAGUUUGUACCUGCUCCACAUUACAAUCGGUGCAUGAGCCACCCCCUCCAUCAUCCCUAACCUUCUGCUCAUUUCCCAUCCCACUUUUGAACACCAGAGCAACUUUCGACACCCUUGGUUGCACCUCCCACCACAACUGAAUAGCAAAACAAGAAGAGCCAACUACCACUUGCAAAGAGAUUGGCCACUUCAAUCCCUCAGAUUUCACUAAUAUUCUAGCCCAUUGAAGCUCCUUAAAAGCAGCAGUGUCUUCAUCCACUGUAGCAAACCCCCCACAGCCUUCCCCAAUCUUUCUAAACACUUCUCGACUCCAAAAGUGCAGCGGUAAACCCACUACUCUCACCAAAAAAAAAAAAAAAACUCACUCACAAUUUUGAAAACACCCCACUUUUGGGUCCCACCUUUCCAAGUGCAGAAACGUUUCCUUAAAACAACGAAGCCCUUUUAAUAACUCUUUUUCUGACUCUGCUUUAUUCUCAAACUCGAUCAGUAUGAAAGAACCCCCCAGCCUCUCAAACAUCACCCCUUCUUUAAGGUUCCAGUGAAACCUUCCCCAACUGCCCAAAUCGGACAAGUCUGGAGCCGACAUGGGAGACUCUCCCCAUCUCCCAACUAGACACCGGUCCAACAACUCCCUUCUGCUUAGCACAUCUUUUUCCCCCAACUGUAGCUACAUUGCUUUCCCUAAUCUUCUUGCUCUUGAUUUCACUGCAUCAGCAUAGGAAUUUUUCGCCUUCCCCUUAGGAGCCCCAACUCUACUCUCUGUCCUAAAGAAAUCAAAGAUUCCUCUGGGCUCAUCACGUGUCAAUACUCCAAGAGAGCGGAGCUUUUCAGUCAACAAGGCCCAACCUCCCAGAAUGCCUUUCCCCUCAGGGAACACUAAACAAUACUUCUUUGCUUCUGAGUCAACCACAUAGCACAAUAAGAACCUGCCUUCCUCAUUN
RNAcentral lists this long non-coding RNA (1243 nucleotides) under Vitis vinifera (wine grape). Its description in RNAcentral is "long non-coding RNA (VVIN_LNC006888)". Lineage: Eukaryota; Viridiplantae; Streptophyta; Magnoliopsida; Vitales; Vitaceae. The record is from RNAcentral.